This 216-nucleotide long non-coding RNA is filed under the name Elaeis guineensis (African oil palm). RNAcentral describes it as "long non-coding RNA (EGUI_LNC043702)". Lineage: Eukaryota; Viridiplantae; Streptophyta; Magnoliopsida; Arecales; Arecaceae. The record is from RNAcentral.
UAGGAAAAAACUUUAUUUCUAAAAGGGGAUAGUGGGAGGAUAAUUAAACUUGAGAAGUUUAAGACCUAUAAACUAUCCUAUCUUAACCUGUGGAGUGUCCUUAAGUUAAUCCUCAACUUGAUAUAUCCAGUGAUGAAGAACGAUCAUGAUACACACCUCUUCACCGAAAGGUCAAUUCGAGUGUGUAAUGUACCACCCAAAUAUGGGUUUAUCAUA